RNAcentral lists this ribosomal RNA (342 nucleotides) under uncultured Desulfobulbus sp. RNAcentral describes it as "bacterial SSU rRNA". It matches the Rfam family "Bacterial small subunit ribosomal RNA", at positions 1041 to 1382 of the family's 1533-position model. The record is from RNAcentral. Lineage: Bacteria; Pseudomonadati; Thermodesulfobacteriota; Desulfobulbia; Desulfobulbales; Desulfobulbaceae.
CUGCAUGGCUGUCGUCAGCUCGUGUCGUGAGAUGUUGGGUUAAGUCCCGCAACGAGCGCAACCCUUGCCUUUAGUUGCCAGCAGUUCGGCUGGGCACUCUAAAGGGACUGCCGGUGUUAAACCGGAGGAAGGUGGGGGAUGACGUCAAGUCCUCAUGGCCUUUAUGACCAGGGCUACACACGUACUACAAUGGCCGAUACAAAGGGCAGCGACACUGCGAGGUGAAGCCAAUCCCGUAAAAUCGGUCUCAGUCCGGAUUGGAGUCUGCAACUCGACUCCAUGAAGUUGGAAUCGCUAGUAAUCGUGGAUCAGCAUGCCACGGUGAAUACGUUCCCGGGCCUU